Long non-coding RNA from Vitis vinifera (wine grape), 326 nucleotides. RefSeq lists it as uncharacterized. Lineage: Eukaryota; Viridiplantae; Streptophyta; Magnoliopsida; Vitales; Vitaceae. The transcript is spliced from 3 exons. The record is from RefSeq and is a predicted model, not a curated record.
CUACUAAUGGAUUUAUUUUAUAUCUUUAUUUAUUAUUUGUUUUGCAUAUACAUAUUUUAAGAGACAGUGACCUACAUUGGACUACGAGAGGUGUGUGAUGCAAGACUCGAGACAAAGACAGAGUGAGGAAGGAAUAUAGGGAAGUACAAAAACAGAGAAGAAAGAAGCAUAUAUAUAAUCAUCAUCUAAGUAGAAAAGGGUAUGCUGGACUUGAAGAAGAGAUGAUGAUUGAAGCUGGCUCCACAGAAAGCAUUGAUAGAAGUUUACUUUGGAAGAGGGCAAUGCAAAAAAAAGAUGGCAGCUAUGAUGAUGUGGUCCUACCGAUA